GGUGACGAGUGGCGGACGGGUGAGUAAUGUCUGGGAAACUGCCCGAUGGAGGGGGAUAACUACUGGAAACGGUAGCUAAUACCGCAUGACGUCUUCGGACCAAAGAGGGGGACCUUCGGGCCUCUUGCCAUCGGAUGUGCCCAGAUGGGAUUAGCUAGUAGGUGGGGUAAUGGCUCACCUAGGCGACGAUCCCUAGCUGGUCUGAGAGGAUGACCAGCCACACUGGAACUGAGACACGGUCCAGACUCCUACGGGAGGCAGCAGUGGGGAAUAUUGCACAAUGGGCGCAAGCCUGAUGCAGCCAUGCCGCGUGUAUGAAGAAGGCCUUCGGGUUGUAAAGUACUUUCAGCGAGGAGGAAGGCGUUGAGGUUAAUAACCGCAGUGAUUGACGUUACUCGCAGAAGAAGCACCGGCUAACUCCGUGCCAGCAGCCGCGGUAAUACGGAGGGUGCAAGCGUUAAUCGGAAUUACUGGGCGUAAAGCGCACGCAGGCGGUCUGUCAAGUCGGAUGUGAAAUCCCCGGGCUCAACUUGGGAACUGCAUCCGAAACUGGCAGGCUAGAGUCUUGUAGAGGGGGGUAGAAUUCCAGGUGUAGCGGUGAAAUGCGUAGAGAUCU
Molecule: ribosomal RNA, 616 nt
Filed under: Citrobacter freundii
Lineage: Bacteria; Pseudomonadati; Pseudomonadota; Gammaproteobacteria; Enterobacterales; Enterobacteriaceae
Description: bacterial SSU rRNA
Rfam family: Bacterial small subunit ribosomal RNA
Source: RNAcentral